This 391-nucleotide unclassified non-coding RNA is filed under the name Peponidium aff. buxifolium Razafimandimbison 561. RNAcentral's name for it is "partial miscellaneous RNA". Lineage: Eukaryota; Viridiplantae; Streptophyta; Magnoliopsida; Gentianales; Rubiaceae. The record is from RNAcentral.
AGGAACGUGCGGAGAAGUCGCCAACCGCGUUCUCGCUGGAGAAUUCGGAACCGGCUGCGCUCGCCCAAAGGACAUAACGUAUGGAUGCCUUGCCUUAAAACUGCACGUUGCUCGCAGCAAGAGGAACACGGCAGGCAGGGAGAGACCCGCGCCGCGCCCCACUUGGAGCUUCCGCCCAAGCACAAGGCUCAGCGAACGGCGCACGAGCCAGGAGCUUGAAAACGAACUCGAGAGCCUACGCCUUAUGAGCCUCCCGUCCCCUAGCAGCCAGAGGCAAUCGGGCUUUUGCCGCAAUUAGCGGGCGUAGCUUGCUGACGGCGGCAGCGGAGCUCUGAAACGCCGGAAGCCCGCGUCGAAGGAGCACGCUGCAGCCGCAGACACUCCUUACGAU